UGGGGAAUAUUGCACAAUGGGCGCAAGCCUGAUGCAGCCAUGCCGCGUGUAUGAAGAAGGCCUUCGGGUUGUAAAGUACUUUCAGCGGGGAGGAAGGGAGUAAAGUUAAUACCUUUGCUCAUUGACGUUACCCGCAGAAGAAGCACCGGCUAACUCCGUGCCAGCAGCCGCGGUAAUACGGAGGGUGCAAGCGUUAAUCGGAAUUACUGGGCGUAAAGCGCACGCAGGCGGUUUGUUAAGUCAGAUGUGAAAUCCUCGGGCUCAACCUGGGAACUGCAUCUGAUACUGGCAAGCUUGAGUCUCGUAGAGGGGGGUAGAACUCCAGGUGUAGCGGUGAAAUGCGUAGAGAUCUGGAGGAAUACCGGUGGCGAAGGCGGCCCCCUGGACGAAGACUGACGCUCAGGUGCGAAAGCGUGGGGAGCAAACAGG
RNAcentral lists this ribosomal RNA (429 nucleotides) under Chloroflexota bacterium. RNAcentral describes it as "Chloroflexi bacterium partial 16S ribosomal RNA". It matches the Rfam family "Bacterial small subunit ribosomal RNA", at positions 355 to 776 of the family's 1533-position model. Lineage: Bacteria; Bacillati; Chloroflexota. The record is from RNAcentral.